This 393-nucleotide transfer-messenger RNA is filed under the name Legionella sp. It matches the Rfam family "transfer-messenger RNA". From Rfam's summary of the family: Bacterial tmRNA, also known as 10Sa RNA or SsrA, is named for its dual tRNA and mRNA-like properties. Its role is to liberate the mRNA from a stalled ribosome. To accomplish this part of the tmRNA is used as a reading frame that ends in a translation stop signal. The record is from RNAcentral. Lineage: Bacteria; Pseudomonadati; Pseudomonadota; Gammaproteobacteria; Legionellales; Legionellaceae.
GGGGGCGACCUGGCUUCGACGGGGGUUGCAAAACCAGAAGUGCAUGCCGAGCAUGGGAACUCUCGUUAAUCAGACUCAAAAAAUAUAAAUGCAAACGAUGAAAACUUCGCAGGACAAGCUAUAGCUGCAUAAGCUUUGGUUUUACUGCAACGUGUAUCGGCCUUAACCCCGGUGCCCCGUUGACCGAGCUCGCUUAUUGGUAUCGAAUCAACGGUCAUAGAAGAUAAGCUAGUGUCCUAAUCUAUCCCGGGUUAUGAUGCGAAAUUCAGGGAAUCGCUGUGUACCAUCCUGCCUGUCGGAGUGUCCACAGUUAAAUCAAAUGACAAGGCUACGCAUGUAGAGCUGAAGGCAGAGGAUCUGCGGACGCGGGUUCGAUUCCCGCCGCCUCCACCA